CCCCCCGGUCCCCCGCCCCAGGGCUGCAGGUGUUGGUGGAGCUGAACCACAGCGCAGGGCGGAACCACUUCUCAAAUGGCCCCACCCGCAGCAAUGGCAGCAGUGCCAUAAAGCAAGCGAUCGGGGCCUGGCUGGAGCGUGGCUUUGAUGGAGUCUUCCUGGAUGGCAUCGAGGAGCUGGAGGAUUCAGUGUUGGCUGAGUUCCGGAACAUCACAGAGCAGUGGAGCACUGAUGGGACCCCCAGGUUGUUGGUGGGGGGCACACGCCUGCGGGACCCCCUCUUGUUGCAGGAUCUGCUGAAUUCCACGAAGGUCUCCCUGGUUUUGGGGGUGCUGCCCCUGGGAGCCCCCCUGGAUUCCCAAAAUGGCCAAACGGUGUUGGAUCCCACCCAUGUGGCACAGCUGCUGCAGCUCAGCCAAGGGGGGGUCCCUGUAUUGUGGAGUGUGAGUGGACCCCCCCCCUCCCUCCCCCCCCAGAUCCCAAAACCCCCGGGACUCCCCCCCCACCCAAAACUGGGGACCCU
RNAcentral lists this long non-coding RNA (523 nucleotides) under Chrysolophus pictus (golden pheasant). RNAcentral's name for it is "lncRNA (ENSCPIG00010009970.1)". The record is from RNAcentral. Lineage: Eukaryota; Metazoa; Chordata; Aves; Galliformes; Phasianidae.